Molecule: ribosomal RNA, 511 nt
Filed under: uncultured bacterium
Lineage: Bacteria
Description: partial 16S ribosomal RNA
Source: RNAcentral
GGAGUUAGCCGGUGCUUCUUCUGUGAGUGAUGUCCUUCCUGCCGGCUAUUAACCCGCAGGCCUUCUUCCUCACUGAAAGUGCUUUACAACCCGAAGGCCUUCUUCACACACGCGGCAUGGCUGGAUCAGGGUUGCCCCCAUUGUCCAAUAUUCCCCACUGCUGCCUCCCGUAGGAGUCUGGGCCGUGUCUCAGUCCCAGUGUGGCUGAUCAUCCUCUCAGACCAGCUACGGAUCGUCGCCUUGGUGAGCCGUUACCUCACCAACCAGCUAAUCCGACAUAGGCUCAUCCGAUAGCGCGAGGCCCGAAGGUCCCCCGNUUUCCCCCGUAGGGCGUAUGCGGUAUUAGCCUGGGUUUCCCCAGGUUAUCCCCCACUACCGGGCAGAUUCCUAUGCAUUACUCACCCGUCCGCCGCUCGCCACCAGGGAGCAAGCUCCCCGUGCUGCCGCUCGACUUGCAUGUGUUAGGCUCGCCGCCACGCGUUCAUCUGAGCCAGAAUACGAACCCGUACGA